RNAcentral lists this long non-coding RNA (587 nucleotides) under Homo sapiens (human). RNAcentral's name for it is "HSALNT0376721". The record is from RNAcentral. Lineage: Eukaryota; Metazoa; Chordata; Mammalia; Primates; Hominidae.
CUUGGAACUUAGGUUGGGGUUGAAGAAGAGUUGUGAGAUGUAUUUCUAUUGGUUUAUGAGGAAGGGGUCUGUCUUAGUCUGUUUUAUGUUACUUAUAACGGAAUACCUAAAACUGGGUAAUUUGUAAGACAUGAAAUUUGUUUCCUUACAGUUCUGGAGGCUUGAAAGUCCAAGGUCAAGUGGAUGCAACUGAUGGUGUUAGAAGUGGGGUCUGAAGUAGAGCCUCUAUAAGAACCCCAGGAGUGCUGAGUGAACAAGCAAGGUAUCUGCUGGAGCUACUUGUGUCCUUUGAUCUCUCAGCAGCUGGAGAUCAUGCUGUUUUCCCUGCCUGAGAUGUUCUUCCUCCAGAUCAUCAGAGACAUGGAUGAAACUGAAGACCAUUAUCUUAAGUGAAACAACUCAGACAAAUAUCAUGUGGAAACUCACUGGGCUGAUGAAUGCAGUCUUCCUGAUGUGAAUGGGAUUGAAGAGCUUGUCAAAAAACAUAAAGCCAACUUCACCCUUGUCACUGAACUGAGACUUUUCAACCAAACCUGUUACACAGAAAAGAAAAUACCGAAAGAAUAUUCAUCAAUCUGUAAAUAGUG